Molecule: ribosomal RNA, 253 nt
Filed under: uncultured bacterium
Lineage: Bacteria
Description: partial 16S ribosomal RNA
Rfam family: Bacterial small subunit ribosomal RNA
Source: RNAcentral
GACAGAGGUGCCGAGCGUUAGGCGGAAUCACUGGGCUUAAAGCGUGUGUAGGCGGGUCGUUAAGUGCCUUGUGAAAUCCCACGGCUCAACCGUGGAACUGCUGGGCAUACUGGCGAUCUUGAGCCAGCUAGGGGCAGCCGGAACAAACGGUGGAGCGGUGAAAUGCGUAGAUAUCGUUUGGAACGCCAAUGGUGAAAACAGGUUGCUGGGGCUGUGCUGACGCUGAGACACGAAAGCCAGGGGAGCGAACGGG